This 253-nucleotide ribosomal RNA is filed under the name uncultured bacterium. Its description in RNAcentral is "partial 16S ribosomal RNA". It matches the Rfam family "Bacterial small subunit ribosomal RNA", at positions 524 to 776 of the family's 1533-position model. The record is from RNAcentral.
UACGAAGGGGGCUAGCGUUGUUCGGAAUUACUGGGCGUAAAGCGUGCGCAGGCGGCUUCUCAAGUCAGGGGUGAAAGCCCAGAGCUCAACUCUGGAAUUGCCUUUGAGACUGAGUGGCUUGAGUACGAGAGAGGUGAGUGGAAUUCCCAGUGUAGAGGUGAAAUUCGUAGAUAUUGGGAAGAACACCAGUGGCGAAGGCGGCUUACUGGACCGGUUCUGACGCUGAGGCGCGAAAGCGUGGGGAGCAAACAGG